GCCAAUGAGAGAAGAGGGCGCGGCGAAGGUGAUGCCGCACGUAAAGAUUCCGGACUGCCAAGCUCAUGCCACGCCCAGAGACUUCGGAAUUCUCAACAAUGCAAAGGCGUCAUGCUGGCCAAACACAAUGAGUCUGCAGGCUGAAAUAGGUCAGGAGCUGCCAGUUUGCAAAUUCCAAAGAAAGGACGAGGAAGUCAGUUAGGGGCAAGCCCAGAAACCGAACGACACUGACAAGCACAGAGGCAAGGGAGAGCAGAUUCACAAAAAUAACUCAUCGCUGAGGUGAACUCCCGAUGCUGAAGUCCUGAGGUAGUAAUGUGUCUGGUUAAAAAUGGAAGUUCUGGUGUACGGUAUGGAAGAUUCGGAAAAUUGCAAUUUUGCAAACAUCAUGGUAAAGAUUGAUUUGGACAAGAAUCAUCAGAGAAUGCUAAAUCUAGGCAAGAAAGUUUGUUGAAGAGCAGAAUAUUUCUGUGGUCUUAAAGUAUUUUUCCACUAAUCACAAAUUGAUAACAAGAAGGAAAAUAGUAACUAUACAGUGGGAAAACCAGACAAUAUCCUGACCAGAUAAUCAAGAUUGACAUAACCAAUGAAGAGCAAGUGGACAUCAUGUGGUCUCCAGAUGUGACCGUCAGAAGGACACAACAUUGCUUACGUGGUAUUCCCACUGGAAAUGCAUAACUCAAAUCAAAUCUUGAGAAAAUAUCAGACAAACAAAAAUUAAGAAACAAGCUAUGAAAUAACUGACCCGUACUUUUCAAACAUGUCAGUGUCAUGAAAGAUAAUGAAAAGCUGAUGAACUGUUUCAGAUUAAAGGAGACUAAAGAGACACAACAAUUAAACACAAUAUGUGACCCUGGACAAGAUCCUGGACUGGAGGAAAACAAAAUGCCAUAAAGGACAUUAUUGAGACACUUGACUAAAUUGGUAAAGAAAUUUCAGAGAGAGAAUGGACAGGACCUGACUGUUGACUGUUUUCUUCUUUCUAUCCCCAAAACCACUGUCUUAGUCUUUUGCAUUUCUCUCCUUAGUGUAUUUCUAGAGCUUUCCAAGUGAUAGUGCGAAGUCCAUUGUCUUUCUCUUCCAGUCUGUCCUCCAUAUGAUCACUACUGUGACUUUUUGAUCUGAUCAUGCCCUACUCCUAAUUAGAAAACAUUUUUGGCUCGCUACUGCUCAAUCCUAGUCCGGCAAACCAGAAGUAGCUUCAGAAUUCCUUUUAUUUGUCUGUCUGUCUGUCUGUCUGUGUGUUUGUUUGUUUUGAGACAGGGUCUUGCUCUGUUGCCCAGGCUAGAAUGCAGUGGUGUGAUCAUGACUCACUGCAGCCUAAACUUCCUGGGCUCAAACAAUCCUCCCACCUUAGCCUCCCAAGUAGCUGGGCUCAUAGGCAUGCACCACCGUGCCCAGCUAAUUAAAAAAAAAAUUGUAGAGAUAGGGGUCUCACUGUGUUGCCCAGGCUGGUCUUCAACUCCUGGGCUCAAGAGAUCCUCCCACCUCAGCCUCCCAGAGUGCUGGGAUUACAGGCAUGAGCCACCACACUGAGUCUCAGAGUUCUUUAGUGGCCACUUCCCUCCUGCAUUCACAUCCCAAAUUGCUCUAGUUAUUGAUCGGUCCCUCCACCCUCAGUAGUUGUGACAUAACACCCAGUGUGACAUCACAAGGACAGGGAUGAAUGAAAGAUGAAGGAUGGAAUGAAAUAAGCCAGGAAGGCUUGAUGCAGGGCAGCAGGGCGAUCUUGGAAGCUCCAUAUUGAAGAUGGUGGAGCCACAGUUUGAAAGGAGUCUGGGUUGGAGGAGAGCUACAGGCAGAUCAGGAACACCCAUAUUGGAUUUGACCUGAGUGAAAAAUAAACUGCAAUCAUUAUGUUAAAACA
Molecule: long non-coding RNA, 1867 nt
Organism: Pan troglodytes (chimpanzee)
Lineage: Eukaryota; Metazoa; Chordata; Mammalia; Primates; Hominidae
Exons: 3
Source: RefSeq, a predicted model, not a curated record